AGCUUACAAACUGCUCCGUUUCUGAACUUGCCUCUGCUCUCUCUCGCUGUCUCUCUCUCUGCUGUCUCUGUGGAGGUGGGGGCAGAGCGCUAUUAGCUGCGCGCUGCAGACAUCAUUAGGAGGGGAGACGCUUCCACCGUCAACGCCGGAGCAGAGCAGGGGAGCCCUGGCAACAAGGAGACACACAAACUCAGCAGCCCGCUAAACACCCCGCAUGAAUGGUGACUACACCUGCAGACAGACAGACGUGAACAGACGGUGCAGACAUCUGGGACGCUUCCCUCCUGUUGGUGCAGAGAUCCAGACUUCACAUCAGGAAGUGCAGCUCCAGUGAGUUGUCAGCUGAGCAGCAGGCUCCACCUACUCCACCCAAGUAGCUCUGCCUCCUCUGCUCAGCUUUAGCUCCUCAGGUGGAUCCCUUUUGGUCGUUCCAAAGUUGAGGCUUAAAUCUAAGGGUGACCGAGC
Amphiprion ocellaris (clown anemonefish) is the source of this 465-nucleotide long non-coding RNA. NCBI's taxonomy places the organism in Eukaryota, Metazoa, Chordata, Actinopteri, Pomacentridae. The record is from Ensembl.